Rattus norvegicus (Norway rat) is the source of this 862-nucleotide long non-coding RNA. RefSeq lists it as uncharacterized. The record is from RefSeq and is a predicted model, not a curated record. NCBI's taxonomy places the organism in Eukaryota, Metazoa, Chordata, Mammalia, Rodentia, Muridae.
GCACCCUUUAUAAAUGACUAACGUUGACAUUUUAGAGACUUUACAGUGGAGACAGAAGGGACAUAUUGUAGGGGUUUAAGGUAGAUGUGUAAAUCAGGUUUAAAAUGUCUGAGAAGCAUGGGGAGAAAUGUCCAUUCUGGGAUUGAAAAUUGGUUUGCUAAGGCUGUGAUAAGACUGGAAUGUCACCCCCAUACGUGGUGAGAAGCCCUGGCGUUUUGGAGGACGCUCAGUGCGGUUUGUUAGGGCACACCUAAUGGCAGUUUGGAAAAGAGGCAUUUAUAACUCCAUCCGAGGAGUGCAAAAGAUUAUCUUCUGUCUUUGGAAAGGGCCUAAAGAGUUACGGAAUGUGUGAAUGGCUUUAUUUCAGAGAGGAUACUAUUUCUCUUUCCUUUCGUUUCCUUUCUUUUUCUACCUGUCUUGUUUUGUUUUGUUUUUCAAGGAAGGCUUUUAGUUAAGUAUCUGGGUAAAGAGCUUAACUGUAGAGACUUGCCGUGCAGUAGAUUAUCCCCUGGAAGUUUCCAUUGCACCGGUGCUUUCAGAUAAAGAAAAAUACGGUGAACUGUGUAUCGCAAAUAGGUUUGCAAACGCUGCACACGAGAUCGGCCGCCGCUUGGACCUUUACCAGGAAAGGUCCCUUUGCCUUUAAGAAGAACCUAAGGGUGUCCAGAAGCUGCUGCACACUGGGCUGGAAGGAUAUAGCAGAGGCUGACACACAUGGAGUUCUGCAGGAUUCCUUCAACCUGGGAGUGAAAGGGGGCUGAGGGUAAGGGUGGGGUGCGGAGAGAAGGCCUUCUCCCAGGAUCUAAGUGUUACUGCAAAGGCCUUCUCUGACUACCUUCAAUAAAAUAGCUCUCUGAGACCA